Molecule: ribosomal RNA, 292 nt
Filed under: uncultured bacterium
Lineage: Bacteria
Description: partial 16S ribosomal RNA
Rfam family: Bacterial small subunit ribosomal RNA
Source: RNAcentral
GUUUCAGCAGCCGCGGUAAUACGGAGGGUGCAAGCGUUAUCCGGAUUUAUUGGGUUUAAAGGGUGCGUAGGCGGCAAUUUAAGUCAGUGGUGAAAUCCUGCAGCUCAACUGUAGAACAGCCAUUGAAACUGAAUUACUUGAGUAAUCUUGAGGUAGGCGGAAUGUGUAGUGUAGCGGUGAAAUGCUUAGAUAUUACACAGAACACCGAUUGCGAAGGCAGCUUACUAAGGAUUUACUGACGCUGAUGCACGAAAGCGUGGGGAUCAAACAGGAUUAGAAACCCCCGUAGUCC